Vitis riparia (riverbank grape) is the source of this 762-nucleotide long non-coding RNA. RefSeq lists it as uncharacterized. NCBI's taxonomy places the organism in Eukaryota, Viridiplantae, Streptophyta, Magnoliopsida, Vitales, Vitaceae. The transcript is spliced from 3 exons. The record is from RefSeq and is a predicted model, not a curated record.
CUCCAACUACAUUGCUACCAUCACUGACGUCCUCAUCACUAACGAGGCCUAGACUCCGAUUCUCUCUUUUCUUCUCCGAAAUACUCUUGUGUAUUUCAAAUUCGGAGCCAAAAUCUGGUCAAAGAGAAACAACAACCCGAAAUUCAGCCCGAUCGACCAGCUAUUGAUGAGAGGUUUGUAGUCUUCUUCGCUUCACAGUGAAGAAAUGCAUAGUCGGGAACCAAAUCACCGGCUAUCUGGUUCGGCUUUCAGAUCUCAAGUUUCGGUUCUCAUGCUAGCCAUGUUGACACCAUGGCAUGGAUUUAUGUCGUCGACCGGCUACGGCUGGAUUAUGAGAAUGGGGCUUAUUUGAUUAAAGAGCUGGAUAGGAGAACUAGUCAGGGAACAACACAAGAAGUUAGCAGCCCUUGACAUGGAGCUAGUAGCAGCACAGUAGGAAGAUUUUGACUCAAAGAACUUGUUAGAAAAUAAGGGGACUCCUCCCAAGAAAAGGCUUUUAGCUGUUGUUGGAAUUAUUACAAAGUUUGGCCACAAGAACAAUAGAGAUGCAAUCUGUAGGGGCAUGGAUGCCAACUGGUAGAAUGCCCUUCUUUUUAUAAGUUUCGUUCUUUAUUCUUUGUAUGAUUUACAUAGAGAAUGACCCAGUUGGCACUUAACACAUUGACAUUUCUGUUAUAAGCAUAUAAGGGAUAAAAAUAGGAGGCUCGUAGGCUGAACUCUUAUUAACAUGAAAACUUUUAGUGAACUUCCAUUUCUCAUCUA